GGCUUGGAUUGGGUCGCCAGUCGGAUUCGAGUGUACGAUCUGAUUGGCCAAUUCAAGUCUAUUUCACAGAGGGACAUGGCAACACAAUUCAGUGCAUUGUACUGCAACAAAUUUAUAUUAGAUUAGUUUAACUACAGGAUUUCAUUUUUGUUCUUUUUAUUUUUGUGUAUUAAACUUAAAUUGUUGAAAUGGUUUACUAUUUUUGUUUCAUGUAUUUAUUUAUUGUUUUAGAUGGCAGAAAGGGACCUCUCUGAAAACAGAGGUUCUACUGACAGAUGAUCUGUGGCGUCUGCACAUGACCUACAAGAGAUAUGUCUCAUAUGUGUGUCCUCAUUAUUCUAAACGAAUUGAAAAGCCAAUGCAGGCCUUGGCUUACCUGGUGCGUAACCUUCUCAAAUGGUUCCCUGAAUCGGACAGCAGCCCUCCGGAGCUCACACGAGCACAUCUUGUUGGUCCUCAGCGCAAGGCUCCUGCUCCUCUGCGGACCGUGAUCCUGAAAUGCCUUCGCUUCACCGACAGAGAUUGGAUUUUAGGAUUCGCAAGGAAGUCACCGGUGACAGUAGACAGCCAAGCAAUUCGCUUCACUGCAGACUAUAGCGAUGCCACCGCUCGGCGCAGACGCCCGUGCUUCCCUAUAAUGAGCAGGGCUCGCACCUUGGGAUUUCAUGCUUUCCUGUUAUAUCCAGCCACCAUCAAGUUGAUAAGAGGACUCGACCAAAACCUGUUUACUGAGCCAAGUGAGGCGUCCAAGUUUAUUGACUCCUUUGUUUCACUCAAUUCGGAAGAUAUGACUUCACUUUUGCCAUGACUGUUGUCAUGCUAGUUUUUCUCUGUCAUUCCAUUCAAGCAUAAGAAACGUCUACAUUUGCAACCUGAUUUUGAUUUUCUGAUUAAUUAUCUGCCUUUUUACGGCUUGGAGUCUUGCCUAUUUUUAGUUGGUAAUAUUACGCUGUUUUGUUGUUCUAUCGCACUGAGAUUUAACUCGUAAAAUCCGUUGUGGAUCUCUUUUAUUUUUCUAGCAAAAAUUAAUAAAGUAAUAUGAUUGAUUAAGCUCAGUAGUGCUAUUUUUAGGGGAGUGAGCGAAGGACAGUUAUUUGAUCUGUUGAUUUUUUUUUCUGCUUUGUUUAAAUGAAAGAUCUUUUUGUGUGUAUGUGUGUUUGUGUGUGCGUGUGGUUUGCAUGUUGGUUUGCUCUCAUAAUAUUCACCUUACCCCAAUCACUACCAUUACUGUAAGUCUACAGAGCCCGGGACGUCACCUGUAGGAGAAAAAAAUACAAUCCGUGGCGACGGUUUUGCAAUCCAUCCCCUGAGUUUAUAAACCAUACUCAUGAAUUCUUAAACUGUUCCCUCGGUUUAACAAAUCAUGCCCACGGAUUAAUAAACCGUACCCAAGAAUUUCCAAUCGGUGUGCUCAGAUUUUUUAAACCGUACCCUCGGUUUUUGAAUCCGUACCCACAAAUUCAUAAUCCGUGCGCACGCUUUCUCAAUCCGUUCCCUCGGAUUUGUAAACUCACGGAUUUGUGGCUCCGCCCCCACCGGCAGAUUGAUUUCUGUUUAUUAAACAUUAUUUUUCAUAGUAUCCUAUGAGACCAUGAUCCGCCCUCACAAAAUAGUCUUCUUUUUAGCGUUUAUUUUACAUUAAUCACCAAUAGGAUAAGAUACUGCCGCCUGUGUUUUAUAGCCUAAAAUAAACGCUAAAAAGAAGAAGAAAAGGGAAAAAACAAUACAAAACAAAUAAUGUGCCAGUUAUGUUGUCAUUCCUUUUCUCUCUAACUGAAUGCAAUGUUAUAAUAGGCCUAAUUAUUUAAUAAUAACAUUAAUAGUGAAGCGUGCAUCUAACUCUGGGCGGGAGCUUAGUAUAAUAAAAUCACCAAAAUAAGUCUUCAUGUUAAGAAAGAAUAGUACACAAACAUUUCCAAAACUGUAAAAGGUUAUUUAAAAAUAAAGCAUUCAUGAAUUAUUUUAUGACAAACAUUUUUACUGUCUUAAGUGCACUCAUUUAUUUAGCCUAUAAAUUAAAAUAAUAAUAAUAAAAAUAACUAUUAUUUAUAUCAUUAGGCCUAUUAUAUAUUAUUAUACAGGUUAUGCAUAAGAAACUUUUAUCCAAAACGACUUACAAAAGAGGAACAAAUUACUCCAGAGUCAGUCACAAUGCCAGGUUUAUUUUACAAUAAUAAUCAAGUGCUAAGAUUAUCACAAAUUAAACAAGAUUUUGAUGCACAUCUUUCUUAUUAAAUCGUUGUAUUCCACCUCAUACUACACUUGA
Molecule: long non-coding RNA, 2266 nt
Organism: Cyprinus carpio carpio
Lineage: Eukaryota; Metazoa; Chordata; Actinopteri; Cypriniformes; Cyprinidae
Source: Ensembl